RNAcentral lists this ribosomal RNA (461 nucleotides) under Paenibacillus sp. R-45813. Its description in RNAcentral is "bacterial SSU rRNA". It matches the Rfam family "Bacterial small subunit ribosomal RNA", at positions 21 to 468 of the family's 1533-position model. The record is from RNAcentral. Lineage: Bacteria; Bacillati; Bacillota; Bacilli; Caryophanales; Paenibacillaceae.
GGCUCAGGACGAACGCUGGCGGCAUGCCUAAUACAUGCAAGUCGAGCGGACUUGAWGAGAAGCUUGCUUYUYUGAUGGUUAGCGGCGGACGGGUGAGUAACACGUAGGCAACCUGCCCUCAAGUUUGGGACAACUACCGGAAACGGUAGCUAAUACCGAAUAAUUGUUUUCUUCGCCUGAAGGAAACUGGAAAGACGGAGCAAUCUGUCACUUGGGGAUGGGCCUGCGGCGCAUUAGCUAGUUGGUGAGGUAACGGCUCACCAAGGCGACGAUGCGUAGCCGACCUGAGAGGGUGAUCGGCCACACUGGGACUGAGACACGGCCCAGACUCCUACGGGAGGCAGCAGUAGGGAAUCUUCCGCAAUGGGCGAAAGCCUGACGGAGCAAUGCCGCGUGAGUGAUGAAGGUUUUCGGAUCGUAAAGCUCUGUUGCCAGGGAAGAACGCUUGGGAGAGUAACUGC